CAAAAUUAGCCGGGUAGAGAGAGCGGAGCGACGGUGAUGGAGGAACGGACGGUGGUCUCCGUCCGGCCACGGACCGGUGGUUUUGACGCAACAAACAACGGUAGAAUUUGACACACUCGCUUUUUAGAAUCCAGAUGAGGGUUGUUUUUAGAGAAAGGGGCGUUCACCUGCUGUUACGGGUGAUGUUCCGGCCAUGACGGCGGCGGAUCUGUGUACCAAGUCACCACCGUCGUUCACCAUCUCCACCACCCUCAUCUUCAAAAUUCGUCCAAACUUCAGCAACCAACUUCGUGCACAAAAAAAAAUCCGAUUUAUCUCUCAUUCAAAUCAGUGAUGGCGAUAAAUAAGCAAUCAGUGGUAAAUUCUUUCAUUAUGAUCAUUCUCUCUGUAUUUCGAUCUGCUUUAUUAUGAUUUUCGUUCACCUCUUUUGCUAUUUCUAGGGUUUCAUCAUCUAAUUUGUGAAAUUUGAGCAUACAACCGUUAGUUGUUUGUUAAACUACUUUAUGAUGUUAAUAGGUGUAGAAUGGAUUGAUUUUUGUUGAAAUAGGUUGUGUAUAAUUUCUCCGUUUACUGAAUCAUGAAUAGGUUUUGUUCACCUGCAAUUGUUGUGAGAGUUUAAAUAAGUAGUUAUGGAGCCCUAGCUCUUUGAAUUAGAGGUUGUUUAGGUUUUUUUUUUUUGAAAUAUGUUGAUUUUUUUUAUUUAGAUUGAGUUUUCCAGACUUAUAGAAUUAUGAUCAUUGUUUGAAGUGAAAUAUAUCUCUUUAGCACCAGCUAGGUCCUUAUACAAACUCAUAAGUUAGAAAAAAAGAGCUUUUCCUUUUUGGUCUGUUGUGCUUUGAACAUUUAGUUCUUUUCAUUGAUACUUUUAACAAUUAAAUCACAUCUCAGACCAAUUAAUAAACCUUUUUUCUAACAGCAAACCAGUUGAUAAACUGUCGCAACAUACUCUGCUACAAAUUGAUAUGAUACACUACAAAAGACUAUUCUUUGAAUCAUCACUUUUAAAAUUUUUUCUGCAUUCUGAUAAUCCCCUUUGAUUUGAUGAGACUACCCCACAUUUACUUCAACACCCAUGUUGAAGAAAAUCUUUAACGGCCAUGCCACUCUGCUCGACAAGGAAUUGCGUUCGUCACGCACUUUCUGGAACGACUUUUUUCAGGUUUUUGAUUUGUGGGUUUUUUUUUGUUUGGGUUGUUUAAGUGUGGCGGAUUUACUUUAAUGGGUUGUUGAUUGCUUGCAAUUGUAACACUAACUUCACUUUCUUAAACUCAACGUCAAAGGUCUUUAACAUGCCAAAUAUAUGCAGGGUAUGUACAGAAGCUCCUUAGAAGCUAAGGCGAGGUCGUUGAUGUUACCUUAAUCUCGCACAAUCUUAACAGAGUUGGUAUAAGUUACCUUGAAGACGUCUUUGUUGCUUAUCAUGUUAUCGGAUCCUCGAGGAACGAGGUUCAGAUAUUAGAACUUCCCACCUAGGGCUGAAAGACGUGUUUGCUCUUCUUCAAUGGUAUGAGGGAAUUAGAGUUGCCACAUGCAUGUAACAUUGUGGAUAAAGGAACAUGGAAGCUGCCUGGUGACAUGUUUGAGGGGGCUUAAUCUAUAUGAUAUUACAGUCAUUCAAUGACAAAUCUAGAUAUGACGCGAGAAUCUGCACUACUCUAUCUUGAUGUUUGAUUGAGUGUUUUAAUGGCAAACCAUUCAAUAUCUCAAAUUACAUACUAUUUUCUCUGAUGAACCAUUGUGCACGUGUGUAAUCGGGGCUAUAUUCAACAAUAUUUUUUUGUUGUUUUGCUUUU
This 1793-nucleotide long non-coding RNA is filed under the name Helianthus annuus (common sunflower). RNAcentral describes it as "hypothetical non coding rna". The record is from RNAcentral. Lineage: Eukaryota; Viridiplantae; Streptophyta; Magnoliopsida; Asterales; Asteraceae.